AUGCUGCGGGACUGCCACCUGCUCAGAGACACAGAGAUGGGGAUGUGCAUAGUCUGGUGUGCAGCCAUGUAUCUCUUGGGAGCAAAACAAGCAGAUGCUAAGAUAACCCAAACACCGAGUCUAGUACUGGAGAGAGGACAGACGGCCUAUCUCAGAUGUGAACAAACCUAUGGUCACUACAAUAUGUUCUGGUACCGGCAGGAUCCAGGGCAGGGACUGCAGCUGCUCUUUAACUUCUACAAUAAAGAAGAAAGAGAGAAAGGCACAAGUUCUAGUCAAUUCCAGGCCGACCAGCCGCAGGAUGAUCUCUUUCUCUUGAACAUCUCGUCUGUGCAGCCAGAGCACUCGGCUGUGUAUUUCUGCGCCAGCAGGCUCCCAGGAAGCAGCAUGAAUGUCGUGCCUCCAGCUUCUAGGAAGGUGAUUGCUGUGUCUGCUGUAUUCCACGAGCUGUGA
Non-coding RNA from Chelonoidis abingdonii (Abingdon island giant tortoise), 453 nucleotides. The record is from the annotation of a RefSeq genome assembly. NCBI's taxonomy places the organism in Eukaryota, Metazoa, Chordata, Testudines, Testudinidae.